Molecule: ribosomal RNA, 253 nt
Filed under: uncultured bacterium
Lineage: Bacteria
Description: partial 16S ribosomal RNA
Rfam family: Bacterial small subunit ribosomal RNA
Source: RNAcentral
UACGAAGGGGGCUAGCGUUGCUCGGAAUCAUUGGGCGUAAAGGGUGCGUAGGCGGCGCGGUAAGUCGGGUGUGAAAUCUCGGAGCUUAACUCCGAAACUGCAUUCGAUACUGCCGUGCUUGAGGACUGGAGGGGAGACUGGAAUUUACGGUGUAGCGGUGAAAUGCGUAGAUAUCGUAAGGAAGACCAGUGGCGAAGGCGGGUCUCUGGACAGUUCCUGACGCUGAGGCACGAAGGUCAGGGGAGCAAACGGG